GUGGAUAGGGAAGUGCCUCUCACACCCUCCUUAGCCACUAUUUGGGAGAAUUGGGACGUAGCCAGGGGUGUGGUUUUCUGGUGAAUUAAUCAUCUUAUUGACUGCAGCUGUGGAGCCCUGACACCUGGCUGCAAUCAAGAGUUGCCAACACAAGAGUGGGACUGCUAGUAAAAGCCCUAGUGGGUGCUAUUGCUGUGAGCUACAUUUAGAAGACUCCUGUCCCAGCGGCCACAAACAGCUUUACAGGGGUUAGUAUAAUGGAUGUCACGGUGCUUAGCGAGUACCACUUCCUCCUGAUUUGGCUCACACUGAGGCUCGGACCCAGGACCUCUGCUUUACUAGCACAUGUGACCUCUCUCCUGAAGCGUGUUGCCACAUGCGAAAAGCUAGCUAUACUGAAGCUAGACACUUCAGGCUGGGGCUUCACACAUCCCCAUGUGCUACAUCAGCUCCCCUGCAUAGGAGAAGACUGCAUGGGGUAACAGGCAGCUCCCCUGCAUAGGAGAAGACUGCGUGGGGUAACAGGCAGCUCCCCUGCAUAGGAGAAGACUGCGUGGGGUAACAGGCAGCUCCCCUGCAUAGAAGACUGCGUGGGGUAAGAGGCAGCUCCCCUGCAUAGAAGACUGCGUGGGGUAAGAGGCAGCUCCCCUGCAUAGAAGACUGCGUGGGGUAAGAGGCAGCUCCCCUGCAUAGGAGAAGACUGCGUGGGGUAAGAGGCAGCUCCCCUGCAUAGGAGAAGACUGCGUGGGGUAAGAGGCAGCUCCCCUGCAUAGGAGAAGACUGCGUGGGGUAAGAGGCAGCUCCCCUGCAUAGGAGAAGACUGCGUGGGGUAAGAGGCAGCUCCCCUGCAUAGGAGAAGACUGCGUGGGGUAAGAGGCAGCUUCCCUAGUUUCCCCCAAAGUUGUCAUUCCGAGAUGCAUUUUACCUUUGAGUUACUGUUGUGUGUAAUGUACUGACAUGUAUGUGGAACUGAUAGAUGUAUACACACACUACAUGUUUUUAAAUGUAUGUAAAUUGUAAAGUAUUUUGUCUAAUCCUUUAAAAAAAAAAAUGUUAUUAUAUGUCGGACCCCAGUAAGACUAGCUGUCGUCAUUGGCGUCGGGUAAUGGGGAUCCUAAUAAAUCAAAUUUGUUUAUUGCUUAAACCCCUGUCUGUCUCAUGCUGUUGGACUACCACACACACACGUGACAAGCCCCUCCAUCUGUGGGCAUGCCACACAGUAAGCCUUGUGCUGUCACAGGAGGUGUCUACCCUAAAAUCAAUGGUGGAAAAGGAGGCAAUUUUCGUACUUGUGUAAAAGUAAAGAUGCCUUUAAAAUAAAAUUACUCCAGUGAAAGUCACCCAGUAAAAUACUACUUGAG
RNAcentral lists this long non-coding RNA (1361 nucleotides) under Salmo salar (Atlantic salmon). Its description in RNAcentral is "lncRNA (ENSSSAG00000104112.1)". The record is from RNAcentral. Lineage: Eukaryota; Metazoa; Chordata; Actinopteri; Salmoniformes; Salmonidae.